This is a long non-coding RNA of Vespula vulgaris, 1704 nucleotides long. RefSeq lists it as uncharacterized. Lineage: Eukaryota; Metazoa; Arthropoda; Insecta; Hymenoptera; Vespidae. The record is from RefSeq and is a predicted model, not a curated record. The transcript has 2 exons.
GGGCUCGACGAUCCUCUGGUAAGUACACGACUCUCGACCCUACCUACUGUUUCCGAACCCUUACAUAUGAGAAAAACGAACGCUCUUUUUUUUCUCUCUCUUUCUUCUUUUUUUUUCCUUUUAACUCUUUUAGAAAAAGACACGAAUAGAUACCAAAAGAUUUUUCUGAUGUAAAUCUAAUUUUUAAUUUUCAUAUAUUCUCUUUCUCUUCAUCUCUUAGAUCCGUUAAUAGUAUAUCUAUAUAUAUAUAUAUACCCAUCUCUCUUCCUCUCUCUUCUUCUCUUGCUUUCUGCCUCUCUCUCUCUCUCUCUCUCUCUCUCUCUCUCUCUCUUUCUCUUUCUCUUUCUCUCUCGGAACGUGCAAGGUUCAAUAAGUUUCCGCAUGUCUCGAUAAAUCAUCGGUUUUCUAUAUACUACAUAUACUAUGUAUAAGAAGUGAGGUUAAUUGUCCCGAGCAUUAAGUAAUCGCUUCACGGUCAACGCAUAUGUAUAUAAGCAUCUAUGUAUAUGUGUUAGUGUACGUAAAAAAGAUUUCAAAAUGGCGCCCAUCAUCGACAAGAUGACAAGAUGUAUUUUUCGCUAAUGACAUUUAUUCUUCUUAUUCUUCUUCCUCGAUUCUACUGAGAAACCAGGAUGAAUAAGCACAGAGUAUUAAAUCUAUCUCUUUGGCUCGUAUUUUAUCAAAGUACUGUAAAAGUUACAAGAACGAGCGCCUUAACGGUCAUAAAUCUUCUACACAUUCUUCUCUCGAGUCUCGUAAACAAUAAUAUUGAGUAAGUACUUUCGAUAAGGUACUUUAGAAUAUUUAAAAGCACAUACAUCGUCGUUGUUAUUGUCAGUAGGGAAUAAGCAGUCGUCCUCUGUUGGUGAGAUCAUUAGAACUCGGUGAAGGAUUACUCGAAGGAGGAUAGACUGGUAAGUACGAAUGUAGCUAAUUUGUUCGCGGUGUAAAUCGUUGAAAAUAGCCAAUUAGAGUGGGGGACGAGAUGGUGCACGACAAUUUGAGUGGAACGUUUCAUGGCGUCGCGACGCCACUUCAUUGUUUUUUCUCUUAUACUGGCACGCUCGUCCCAACACAAGAGCGUUGACUACAACAACGUUGAAGUGUCUCGUCACAGUGUGAUCACGUAGCUUCCCUUCUACUUUCCGUUAGUAUCUCUCCUUGAUUGGCUAUUUUUAAUCGUUUAUAUUUAACUGAGGAAGAAAGUGAUUUGAACGAAUAUACACGGGAACCAAGUUCUCUUUCGUCAAUUUUUAAGUUUCAUAUAGUUUAAUAAUUUCUUUCGAUGUACGAUAAGAUUUAUUUUCAUUGAAAAAAAAGGGAAAGAAAAAAAGAAAAAAAAAACGAAUAGCUUUUUAUAUAUACAUAUACGUUCGUAUUGUUUUUUUUUUCUCCUCCAAUUAGAAAUGGUUAAUACUCGUUUAGAAUAAUAAAAACAGGUAAAUGUUCUGAACACGAAUUAAACGUAACCGCGUGGCUUGGAACGAUCGUUGCCGUGUAAUUAUCUCCUGACAAAUGUAUCUAAGCAUCGUUAUUACAUAGAGCGCAAUGAAUGAGGAGGACUUACACGCGUGAUCAAGGAGACUUUAAUUAUCAGCGCCAUCGCAGGGCGUCGAAGUGGAAGAGAAUUUAAGAGUCGACGAUCUCUCGAACAUCGUACUGUAUUUGUUCUGUUAAUAAUUAUUAAACAUUCGUCAAAUAUUA